This 68-nucleotide transfer RNA is filed under the name Stygiocaris stylifera. RNAcentral describes it as "tRNA-Val". RNAcentral also lists the same sequence under 1 other name. Lineage: Eukaryota; Metazoa; Arthropoda; Malacostraca; Decapoda; Atyidae. The record is from RNAcentral.
UGGGUCAAAGCUUUAGAAAUAGCGUCUCAGUUACGUUGAGAAGAUCACUAUAAUUUAGUGUGGCUUAA